GCUAGUACCGCAUAAGCGCACGAUACUGCAUGGUAUUGUGUGAAAAACUGAGGUGGUACGAGAUGGACCCGCGUCUGAUUAGCUGGUUGGUGGGGUAACGGCCUACCAAGGCGACGAUCAGUAGCCGACCUGAGAGGGUGACCGGCCACAUUGGGACUGAGACACGGCCCAAACUCCUACGGGAGGCAGCAGUGGGGAAUAUUGCACAAUGGGGGAAACCCUGAUGCAGCGACGCCGCGUGAAGGAAGAAGUAUUUCGGUAUGUAAACUUCUAUCAGCAGGGAAGAAAAUGACGGUACCUGAGUAAGAAGCCCCGGCUAACUACGUGCCAGCAGCCGCGGUAAUACGUAGGGGGCAAGCGUUAUCCGGAUUUACUGGGUGUAAAGGGAGCGUAGACGGUAAUGUAAGUCUGAUGUGAAAGCCCGGGGCUCAACCCCGGGACUGCAUUGGAAACUAUGUAACUAGAGUACCGGAGAGGUAAGCGGAAUUCCUAGUGUAGCGGUGAAACGCGUAGAUAUUAGGAGGAACACCAGUGGCGAAGGCGGCUUACUGGACGGAAACUGACGUUGAGGCUCGAAAGCGUGGGGAGCAAACAGGAUUAGAUACCCUGGUAGUCCACGCCGUAAACGAU
Molecule: ribosomal RNA, 630 nt
Filed under: uncultured bacterium
Lineage: Bacteria
Description: bacterial SSU rRNA
Rfam family: Bacterial small subunit ribosomal RNA
Source: RNAcentral